This 365-nucleotide ribosomal RNA is filed under the name uncultured Streptococcus sp. RNAcentral's name for it is "bacterial SSU rRNA". It matches the Rfam family "Bacterial small subunit ribosomal RNA", at positions 1014 to 1382 of the family's 1533-position model. The record is from RNAcentral. Lineage: Bacteria; Bacillati; Bacillota; Bacilli; Lactobacillales; Streptococcaceae.
GUACUUCGGUACAUCGGUGACAGGUGGUGCAUGGUUGUCGUCAGCUCGUGUCGUGAGAUGUUGGGUUAAGUCCCGCAACGAGCGCAACCCCUAUUGUUAGUUGCCAUCAUUCAGUUGGGCACUCUAGCGAGACUGCCGGUAAUAAACCGGAGGAAGGUGGGGAUGACGUCAAAUCAUCAUGCCCUUAUGACCUGGGCUACACACGUGCUACAAUGGUUGGUACAACGAGUUGCGAGUCGGUGACGGCGAGCUAAUCUCUUAAAGCCAAUCUCAGUUCGGAUUGUAGGCUGCAACUCGCCUACAUGAAGUCGGAAUCGCUAGUAAUCGCGGAUCAGCACGCCGCGGUGAAUACGUUCCCGGGCCUU